RNAcentral lists this ribosomal RNA (254 nucleotides) under uncultured bacterium. Its description in RNAcentral is "partial 16S ribosomal RNA". It matches the Rfam family "Bacterial small subunit ribosomal RNA", at positions 524 to 777 of the family's 1533-position model. The record is from RNAcentral.
UACGAAGGGAGCUAGCGUUGUUCGGAAUUACUGGGCGUAAAGGGCGCGUAGGCGGACAUCUAAGUCAGGGGUGAAAUCCCAGGGCUCAACCCUGGAAUUGCCUUUGAUACUGGACGUCUCGAGUUCGGGAGAGGUGAGUGGAAUUCCGAGUGUAGAGGUGAAAUUCGUAGAUAUUCGGAGGAACACCAGAAGCGAAGGCGGCUCACUGGCCCGAUACUGACGCUGAGGCGCGAAAGCGUGGGGAGCGAGUCCGG